GGCAGCAGCCGCGGUAACACCGGCGGCCCGGAGUGGUGAUCGUGAUUAUUGGGUCUAAAGGGUCCGUAGCCGGUUUGGUCAGUCCUCCGGGAAAUCUGAUAGCUCAACUAUUAGGCUUUCGGGGGAUACUGCCAGACUUGGAACCGGGAGAGGUAAGAGGUACUACAGGGGUAGGAGUGAAAUCUUGUAAUCCCUGUGGGACCACCUGUGGCGAAGGCGUCUUACCAGAACGGGUUCGACGGUGAGGGACGAAAGCUGGGGGCACGAACCGGAUUAGAUACCCGGGUAGUCCCAGCCGUAAACGAUGCUCGCUAGGUGUCAGGCAUGGCGCGACCGUGUCUGGUGCCGCAGGGAAGCCGUGAAGCGAGCCACCUGGGAAGUACGGCCGCAAGGCUGAAACUUAAAGGAAUUGGCGGGGGAGCACAACAACGGGUGGAGCCUGCGGUUUAAUUGGACUCAACGCCGGACAACUCACCGGGGGCGACAGCAAUAUGUAGGCCAAGCUGAAGACUUUGCCUGAAUCGCUGAGAGAAGUGGUGCAUGG
This 544-nucleotide ribosomal RNA is filed under the name uncultured archaeon. Its description in RNAcentral is "bacterial SSU rRNA". It matches the Rfam family "Archaeal small subunit ribosomal RNA", at positions 457 to 997 of the family's 1478-position model. The record is from RNAcentral.